AGAGCUUCUUCCUAAGAUCCCAUCUCAAUCUCCCUUAUGUCAUGUUAAAGACAUUCCCCCUUGUCCUGUCUGUGCUUAAUCUGGUUCAGGAAACACACCUCUGUGCUAAACAUGGAAGCUUGCACUGCGUACGGAAAGAGAACUAUGCAAAUGGAACGUGUUCUUUUUCUCAGGUGCAAAGGGAAGACAUGCAUCAUGAGCCCAGCAUCCUAAACCAUGUUAUACUUUAAUAAAUAGGAUUUCAAGACCUUCCUGAAAGAAAAGGAAUGUCCUGUGUCAUAACUGAGUCUGUUUGUACUUGGAGGAUUUGCAAACUGGAGGCUUAAUUAAUCUCCUGUGUUUGUGUAAAGUCACAACCGUUUAUGUCACAUGGAGCUACGCUAGCAGAUAUAGUCUUGUUAGAUAUAUAGAGUAUUUAGACUUGUGAUUUGCUUGAUUUGUGUUCCGUUAAGCCUGUUGCUAAGCCAGAGAAGUUUGGUAACUAGGAUGUGGACAUAGAUAUAUGAGACUAUCCAAGCGAAACAGUACUCCUCAGAUUACUUCAAAGCAGAACUUUUAAGAUAAGAAACGAAGAUGCAUACCAGUACCAGUCAGAGAGAGAUAAGGAGAAUGCUGGUGCAAGCACCAUCGUUGGAACCUAUCCAGGACUCGAAAGGUGAAAAGUACACAGCGAGGAAGACGUCUUACUUCAUCUGAGGAAGACUACUUACUUCAUCUUGAGACCCCUGCCCACGACCACCAGGAGGCACUGCGCAAGCGCAGAACAUAUGGAAAUGACUUUUGUACUCAUUAUAAUACGAAGCGGGGAUAGGUCAUGAAUAUGUAUCAGCAUGUUGGGAAAGGUGAUGCAUAUGUAAUACUUUACAGCAUAAAUUGUGAACACGUUGUGAUGGUCUUUGGAACCAGAUUUGGGUGUGUACCCCUGGUUCCCGGGGCCUCGAAAUAAAGCACCACAUAUAACCUCCUUAGAGUGGUUAUGUGUUCUUCUCUCAGCUAACAGUUUUGGCGACCCAGAUAGGACCUCGCGAGCAUUGCUGAGGCGGCUCGCGCAUCGAUCCAGCUCCAGCCGGCACCGAGUGAUUCUCGGGGAGCCAUCGACCGCGACCGACCUCCGGUGCUCUCGACGGACCAACAGCAUUGUAGAACUUUGAUCCGGUUGCGUAGUGCCCUGAUCUGGAACAGACCGCUCUCGUUGGAGACUCCAGUACACGAGAUCGAGCCAGGAGACCAGGUCUACGUUCGUGAUUGGAGCGAGGAACCACUUAAGGAACGGUGGAAUGGACCGUACCUGGUGCUGCUAACUACCUUCACCGCUGUAAAAGUGGAAGGAAUUGACUCCUGGGUUCACUACACUAGAGUGAAGAAAGUCCCGAAACAUUGUCGAAUCAGAAGCCUUAGGACCUACAAAACUGAGGCUGAAAUGCAGAUAAGAUGUCAUGUUAUAUGUAUAGCACUUUAAUUGUGAUUUGGUCAGUCUUACCUAUAAUAAUUGUUGGUUCCUUAGAAGUUUCAUUGAAAAGGGAGGUGGUGACGUAUGUUGUUGGACAAAAUGCCACUCUGUCUUGCAGGUUUACCAUGCCAAUGGGAGGAGAACUAAUAAGGGUUAUCUGGGAAAAGGAAUCGGAAAAUUUUGAAGCACCUGAGAUAAUUUUCGACAGCAAGGACAAAGGAUUAGUGGGGCAUGAGCAGGAGUUGCAGGAAAAUUGGCAAUCUAGAAGUAAAGUAAUGAACAGGUUCUGUUCACGAAAUCUUACUGAAGGAGAGACUAAAUUAAGGAUAGCCAAUCUGACUGAACAAAUGCGGGGAAAAUAUCGUUGUCUGGUCAAGACAAACAAUAGUGCAGACUACGGUGAGAAGAUAAUAUACAUUACUAAAACUAGAGUCAGACGAGCUAUAAAACUGACCGAAUCACCCCAGAUAAUUCAAGUACCCCAACGUGAUCCGGAGGAAAACCUAAUGAUAGGAUUAAUCAAGGAUUUCGCAAAAAUGCAAAAUACGAGUAGAAUAACGGCAUGCCUCCCAAUACCAAAAGCAGCUGGAGAACCAAUUGAGUGGGGAAUAAUAACAAUACCAUUCCCAGAAGGAAACGAGGCAGUUAAGUGUCAGGAAAAGGAGAUAAUAAAAACCGAUACAAGCCCCGGCUGAUGGAAUAAACUGCAGAUAUUUGAUGAUACAUAGCAUGGGACAUCUUGUUUGGGCACUCAGUGGUGGUACCUGGACCACCCACCUUCCAAUAACAGGGCCAGUGCGGGAAAUUACCUUAGGACUCCCCACUUUGUGUCCAGUUUGGAAGCGUUCCCCGUUCAGGGGCAAACUAGAAACUUUGCAGAUUCAAACCAAAAGAAGUAUUGAUGAUGACAUUGACAAUAUAGAUGACACUUGGCAAGAGCCUGAGACUGGAGUGAAAGUAAGAUGGGCACUUGAAUCCCUUUUUGCUCAAAUAGCUGCAUAUCGCAAUAGGGAAAUGAUUUAUAAUUUAAUUGGACAAACUGAGAGAUUGGCCAAGGUGACUAAAAAGGCUUUAGGGAUCUAAAUUUGCAAUUACAGGCAACAACCAAAAUGACUCUGCAAAACAGAAUGGCAUUAGACACAUUGCUGUUGAAGAAACAUGGUGUUUGUGGAUAUCUCAAAGAUAGAAUCGUUCACUGCUGUGUACAUAUACCAACUGUAACUGCAGAUAUAGAAUAUGACAUUGCUCAAUUAGGGAAAAUUGAAAAGGAAGCUGAAAAGGAAAAAGAAGAAAUAAGUCAAAAUUGGGUAGGAGCAUUAUUUGAUGGAUUGGGAAUCCACCUGACUGGAUGGAUUCAUUCCCUCAUAGAGACAGUGUUUACUCUAUUACUUGUGUUCCUCGCAAUCUAUUUGGUAUAUUUUUGUAUUCGAAGAGAAAUAACCCGGAAUACCAGUUGGACACAUAAAAUCAUUGGAGCGGUGACUCGAGAAUAUCCACGACACCCAAUAACUCCUCCUCUUACCUAUCAGGAAACUACUAGAUGAGUGAAAAUACUUGCAAAAGAUGAAGUAUUUUCAAAGGGGGGAAAUGUUAGAUAUAUAGAGUAUUUAGACUUGUGAUUUGUUUGAUUUGUGUUCCGUUAAGCCUGUUGCUAAGCCAGAGAAGUGUGGUAACUAGGAUGUGGACAUAGAUAUAUGAGACUAUCCAAGUGAAACAGUACUCCUCAGAUUACUUCAAAGCAGAACUUUUAAGAUAAGAAACGAAGAUGCAUACCAGUACCAGUCAGAGAGAGAUAAGGAGAAUGCUGGUGCAAGCACCAUCGUUGGAACCUAUCCAGGACUCGAAAGGUGAAAAGUACACAGCGAGGAAGACGUCUUACUUCAUCUGAGGAAGACUACUUACUUCAUCUUGAGACCCCUGCCCACGACCACCAGGAGGCACUGCGCAAGCGCAGAACAUAUGGAAAUGACUUUUGUACUCAUUAUAAUACGAAGCGGGGAUAGGUCAUGAAUAUGUAUCAGCAUGUUGGGAAAGGUGAUGCAUAUGUAAUACUUUACAGCAUAAAUUGUGAACACGUUGUGAUGGUCUUUGGAACCAGAUUUGGGUGCGUACCCCUGGUUCCCGGGGCCUCGAAAUAAAGCACCACAUAUAACCUCCUUA
Long non-coding RNA from Strigops habroptila (Kakapo), 3610 nucleotides. RefSeq lists it as uncharacterized. The record is from RefSeq and is a predicted model, not a curated record. Lineage: Eukaryota; Metazoa; Chordata; Aves; Psittaciformes; Psittacidae. The transcript is spliced from 2 exons.